RNAcentral lists this ribosomal RNA (1206 nucleotides) under Photobacterium damselae subsp. piscicida. RNAcentral describes it as "bacterial SSU rRNA". It matches the Rfam family "Bacterial small subunit ribosomal RNA", at positions 1 to 1188 of the family's 1533-position model. The record is from RNAcentral. Lineage: Bacteria; Pseudomonadati; Pseudomonadota; Gammaproteobacteria; Vibrionales; Vibrionaceae.
UAAUUGAAGAGUUUGAUCAUGGCUCAGAUUGAACGCUGGCGGCAGGCCUAACACAUGCAAGUCGAGCGGCAGCGACUUAACUGAACCUUCGGGGAACGUUAAGGGCGGCGAGCGGCGGACGGGUGAGUAAUGCCUGGGAAUAUGCCCUGAUGUGGGGGAUAACUAUUGGAAACGAUAGCUAAUACCGCAUAAUCUCUUCGGAGCGAAGAGGGGGACCUUCGGGCCUCUCGCGUCAGGAUUAGCCCAGGUGGGAUUAGCUUGUUGGUGAGGUAAUGGCUCACCAAGGCGACAAUCCCUAGCUGGUCUGAGAGGAUGAUCAGCCACACUGGAACUGAGACACGGUCCAGACUCCUACGGGAGGCAGCAGUGGGGAAUAUUGCACAAUGGGGGAAACCCUGAUGCAGCCAUGCCGCGUGUGUGAAGAAGGCCUUCGGGUUGUAAAGCACUUUCAGUAGGGAGGAAGGUAGUGUAGUUAACACCUGCACUAUUUGACGUUACCUACAGAAGAAGCACCGGCUAACUCCGUGCCAGCAGCCGCGGUAAUACGGAGGGUGCGAGCGUUAAUCGGAAUUACUGGGCGUAAAGCGCAUGCAGGCGGCCUGUUAAGUCAGAUGUGAAAGCCCGGGGCUUAACCUCGGAAUUGCAUUUGAAACUGGCAGGCUAGAGUCUUGUAGAGGGGGGUAGAAUUUCAGGUGUAGCGGUGAAAUGCGUAGAGAUCUGAAGGAAUACCAGUGGCGAAGGCGGCCCCCUGGACAAAGACUGACGCUCAGAUGCGAAAGCGUGGGGAGCAAACAGGAUUAGAUACCCUGGUAGUCCACGCCGUAAACGAUGUCUACUUGGAGGUUGUGGCCUUGAGCCGUGGCUUUCGGAGCUAACGCGUUAAGUAGACCGCCUGGGGAGUACGGUCGCAAGAUUAAAACUCAAAUGAAUUGACGGGGCCCGCACAAGCGGUGGAGCAUGUGGUUUAAUUCGAUGCAACGCGAAGAACCUUACCUACUCUUGACAUCCAGAGAAGCUUGAAGAGAUUCGAGUGUGCCUUCGGGAACUCUGAGACAGGUGCUGCAUGGCUGUCGUCAGCUCGUGUUGUGAAAUGUUGGGUUAAGUCCCGCAACGAGCGCAACCCUUAUCCUUGUUUGCCAGCACUUCGGGUGGGAACUCCAGGGAGACUGCCGGUGAUAAACCGGAGGAAGGUGGGGACGACGUCAA